This 497-nucleotide ribosomal RNA is filed under the name uncultured bacterium. RNAcentral describes it as "partial 16S ribosomal RNA". It matches the Rfam family "Bacterial small subunit ribosomal RNA", at positions 28 to 507 of the family's 1533-position model. The record is from RNAcentral.
GAUGAACGCUGGCGGCGUGCCUAAUACAUGCAAGUCGAGCGAACGGACGAGAAGCUUGCUUUUCUGAUGUUAGCGGCGGACGGGUGAGUAACACGUGGAUAACCUACCUAUAAGACUGGGAUAACUUCGGGAAACCGGAGCUAAUACCGGAUAAUAUUUUGAACCGCAUGGUUCAAAAGUGAAAGACGGUCUUGCUGUCACUUAUAGAUGGAUCCGCGCUGCAUUAGCUAGUUGGUAAGGUAACGGCUUACCAAGGCAACGAUGCAUAGCCGACCUGAGAGGGUGAUCGGCCACACUGGAACUGAGAUACGGUCCAGACUCCUACGGGAGGCAGCAGUAGGGAAUCUUCCGCAAUGGGCGAAAGCCUGACGGAGCAACGCCGCGUGAGUGAUGAAGGUCUUCGGAUCGUAAAACUCUGUUAUUAGGGAAGAACAUAUGUGUAAGUAACUGUGCACAUCUUGACGGUACCUAAUCAGAAAGCCACGGCUAACUACGCG